Molecule: ribosomal RNA, 484 nt
Filed under: uncultured bacterium
Lineage: Bacteria
Description: partial 16S ribosomal RNA
Rfam family: Bacterial small subunit ribosomal RNA
Source: RNAcentral
AUUGAACGCUGGCGGCAGGCCUAACACAUGCAAGUCGAGCGGUUGCAGGGAGAUGCUUCCUUGUUUCCUCAGCGGACGGGUACGUAAUGGCAAUGAAUCGGCAACUGAGUGGUGGAGAACGUUCGCUAAUGGGCGCUAAUACCACAUACGUAUAGAGUGACAAAGCGAGGGAGCGGGGGACUUCACGCUAUCACAUGAGCAUAGGUCGGAUUGGCUAGUUGGUGGGGUAAAGGCAUACCAAGGCGACGAUCCGUAACUGGUCUGAGAGGAUGAUCAGUCACGCUGGAACUGAGACACGGUCCAGACUCCUACGGGAGGCAGCAGUGGGGAAUAUUGGACAAUGGGCGAAAGCCUGAUCCAGCCAUGCCGCGUGUGUGAAGAAGGUCUUCGGAUUGUAAAGCACUUUAAGUUGGGAGGAAGGGCAGUAAGUUAAUACCUUGCUGUUUUGACGUUACCAACAGAAUAAGCACCGGCUAACUUCGUG